This 69-nucleotide transfer RNA is filed under the name Ictidomys tridecemlineatus (thirteen-lined ground squirrel). RNAcentral's name for it is "Spermophilus tridecemlineatus (thirteen-lined ground squirrel) tRNA". It matches the Rfam family "tRNA". From Rfam's summary of the family: Transfer RNA (tRNA) molecules are approximately 80 nucleotides in length. Lineage: Eukaryota; Metazoa; Chordata; Mammalia; Rodentia; Sciuridae. RNAcentral also lists the same sequence under 1 other name. The record is from Rfam by way of RNAcentral.
GGGAUUGUAGUUCAGUGGUAGAGUGCUUGUCUAGCAUGUGUGAGGCCCUGGGUUCAAUCCCCAGCACCA